Non-coding RNA from Nylanderia fulva, 875 nucleotides. Lineage: Eukaryota; Metazoa; Arthropoda; Insecta; Hymenoptera; Formicidae. The record is from RefSeq and is a predicted model, not a curated record.
CCGAAAGGUUACAACGGCAAAUACUGUAAGAAAAAGAAUUCAAAAUAUUGUGUAAAGUUAUCAUGUCAGUUGUCGUCCUCGCAUAUUCUCUGAAACGUUUCCUUUUGUGUUAUAAUUCGAUUCAAGUGUGAUAAAAUUUAAUAAAAAAUGCCAGCGGAAGAUGAAAAUUGGAAAGUACCGAGUAACUUUUGUUGCUGUUUCGCAGAAUCCGAUUCUUUAUCCUCAUCGGAUAGUAGCUCAUUUACUUCGACUGUUACUACUCGUACUUGCAGCUGCGAUAAUGAAAGCUGCAGCUACGGCGAUUAUAAGCCAAAGACGAUGCUAAAGAGUAAAGCAAGGAGAAUGAGAGAGAAAUGUCCAAAAUGUGUGCGAAAACAUUUGAGAAUGAAAAUUCAAAGAAAGAAGAGCUGGAAGAAAACAAGAAGUUUUUGAAAAAUAAUUAUUCAUCUGAUUCUUCCGAUCAUUGCGACAACAAACAAUACAAGAGUAAAAAUAAACGGAAAAAGUUGAGGAAAGCUAAAUCGUUUAAUAGUAAGAAAACUUCAACGAAGCGCACGAGAAAAUCUUCUGAAAGUCAUUCGUCAUCGUCUUCAUUCCUGAAUAAUUCUAGCAGUGAUGAACAUAUCUGUGAUUGCGACGAAAAUAUCCGUCAACAUCACGUUGCAAAAUAAAACCUCACAGUUACGAAAAUAAUCCCGAUAAAUUACUUACAAUUAUUCAAAUAUAAUAUAAUUACUUAUCGUAUUAUACGUUAAGAAAAAUGUAUUGUGCACAUAGAAAAACAAAUUGCGAUAAAAUAUAUUUAUACUCGUAUUGUAAUAUUAAGUCAAAUUUGUUCCGCUUAAAAGAAUUGCUAUAAAAUAUAUUGUAACAAA